UAUUUUUAAUUGACAUAGACCAAGUCAUCUAGUAAAAUGAGGAUGAGC
RNAcentral lists this transfer RNA (48 nucleotides) under Ampelocissus acapulcensis. Its description in RNAcentral is "partial tRNA-Phe". Lineage: Eukaryota; Viridiplantae; Streptophyta; Magnoliopsida; Vitales; Vitaceae. The record is from RNAcentral.